GAUGAACUGUGGGUAGCGGAGAAAUUCCAAUCGAACCCGGAGAUAGCUGGUUCUCUCCGAAAUAGCUUUAGGGCUAGCCUUGAAAUAGAUUACCGGAGGUAAAGCACUGAAUUGGCUAGGGGCCGAGAGGUUACUGAACCUUAUCAAACUAAGAAUGCCGGAUAAUCGUUUUUCAGGAGUCAGACAGUGGGAGAUAAGUUUCAUUGUCAAAAGGGAAACAGCCCAGACCCACAGCUAAGGUCCCCAAGUAUAGUUAAGUGGAAAAGGAUGUGGAAUUGCACAGACAACCAGGAUGUUGGCUUAGAAGCAGCCACUCAUUUAAAGAGUGCGUAAUAGCUCACUGGUCGAGUGACUCUGCGCCGAAAAUUUAACGGGGCUAAACUAUACACCGAAGCUUGGGAUACAUCUAAUGUAUGGUAGGAGAGCGUUCUGUAUGGGGAGAAGUCGUAGCGAAAGCGGCGGUGGACUAUACAGAAGUGAGAAUGCCGGAAUAAGUAGCGAGAAUUAAGUGAGAAUCUUAAUGGCCGAAAGUCUAAGGUUUUUGGAGGAAGGUUCGUCCGCUCCAAGUAAGUCGGGAGCUAAGGUCAGGCCGAAAGGCGUAGCCGAUGCACAUACGGUUGAUAUUCCGUAACCAUCUGUAAUUUAAGCAAAGGGACACUUCAAAAGGGUGUGACCCGGGCGUUGGUUGACCCGGGCGUAAGGGACCGAAAUUAGAGUAGGGAAGCACACUUAGCUGAAGGCGAGAAAAGCUUUGCGUAUAGAAACAGAUGCCCGUACCGCAAACCGACACAGGUGGACAGGAAGAGAAUUCUAAGGCCAGCGGGAGAAGGGUAGUUAAGGAACUCGGCAAAUUGACUCCGUAACUUCGGAAUAAGGAGUGCUCGAAAGAGCCGCAGAGAAUAGGCCCAGGCGACUGUUUAGCAAAAACACAGGUCUCUGCCAAAUCGAAAGAUGAAGUAUAGGGGCUGACACCUGCCCGGUGCCGGAAGGUUAAGAGGAGAGCUAAUCGCAAGAGAAGGCUUGAAUUGAAGCCCCGGUAAACGGCGGCCGUAACUAUAACGGUCCUAAGGUAGCGAAAUUCCUUGUCAGGUAAG
This 1094-nucleotide ribosomal RNA is filed under the name human gut metagenome. RNAcentral's name for it is "bacterial LSU rRNA". It matches the Rfam family "Bacterial large subunit ribosomal RNA", at positions 803 to 1980 of the family's 2925-position model. The record is from RNAcentral.